RNAcentral lists this ribosomal RNA (742 nucleotides) under uncultured bacterium. RNAcentral describes it as "bacterial SSU rRNA". It matches the Rfam family "Bacterial small subunit ribosomal RNA", at positions 8 to 796 of the family's 1533-position model. The record is from RNAcentral.
AGAGUUUGAUCAUGGCUCAGAGCGAACGCUGGCGGCAGGCUUAACACAUGCAAGUCGAACGGGCACUUCGGUGCUAGUGGCAGACGGGUGAGUAACACGUGGGAACGUACCUUUCGGUUCGGAAUAAUUCAGGGAAACUUGGACUAAUACCGGAUAAGCACUUCGGGGGAAAGAUUUAUCGCCGAUAGAUCGGCCCGCGUCUGAUUAGCUAGUUGGUGAGGUAAUGGCUCACCAAGGCGACGAUCAGUAGCUGGUCUGAGAGGAUGAUCAGCCACAUUGGGACUGAGACACGGCCCAAACUCCUACGGGAGGCAGCAGUGGGGAAUAUUGGACAAUGGGCGAAAGCCUGAUCCAGCCAUGCCGCGUGUGUGAUGAAGGCCUUAGGGUUGUAAAGCACUUUUGUCCGGGAAGAUAAUGACUGUACCGGAAGAAUAAGCCCCGGCUAACUUCGUGCCAGCAGCCGCGGUAAUACGAAGGGGGCUAGCGUUGCUCGGAAUCACUGGGCGUAAAGGGCGCGUAGGCGGACUCUUAAGUCGGGGGUGAAAGCCCAGGGCUCAACCCUGGAAUUGCCUUCGAUACUGAGAGUCUUGAGUUCGGAAGAGGUUGGUGGAACUGCGAGUGUAGAGGUGAAAUUCGUAGAUAUUCGCAAGAACACCAGUGGCGAAGGCGGCCAACUGGUCCGAUACUGACGCUGAGGCGCGAAAGCGUGGGGAGCAAACAGGAUUAGAUACCCUGGUAGUCC